RNAcentral lists this ribosomal RNA (432 nucleotides) under uncultured bacterium. RNAcentral describes it as "partial 16S ribosomal RNA". It matches the Rfam family "Bacterial small subunit ribosomal RNA", at positions 29 to 507 of the family's 1533-position model. The record is from RNAcentral.
AGCGAACGCUGGCGGCAGGCUUAACACAUGCAAGUCGAGCGGGCCCUUCGGGGUCAGCGGCCGACGGGUGAGUAACGCGUGGGAACGUGCCCUUCGGUUCGGAAUAAUCAGGGAAACUUGAGCUAAUACCGGAUACGCCCUUAUGGGGAAAGGCUUGCUGCCGAAGGAUCGGCCCGCGUCUGAUUAGCUAGUUGGUGAGGUUAUGGCUCACCAAAGCGACGAUCAGUAGCUGGUCUGAGAGGAUGAUCAGCCACACUGGGACUGAGACACGGCCCAGACUCCUACGGGAGGCAGCAGUGGGGAAUAUUGGACAAUGGGGGCAACCCUGAUCCAGCCAUGCCGCGUGAGUGAUGACGGCCUUAGGGUUGUAAAGCUCUUUUCUCCGGGACGAUAAUGACGGUACCGGAGGAAUAAGCCCCGGCUAACUUCGUG